CGCCGGUCGCCUUCCUGUGCCCCUGGGGCCUCCUCUGCCGCCCGUCCGGUAAGAGGGGAGCUGGCACCGCCCUGCCCUGCCCUGCCCUGCCCUGCCCGGAGCACUGAGCCCUGGCUGGACCUUCCGCCCCACUGCGAAAGGCGGGAGACCAUUCAAACAGGCAAGGCGAUAAACUUCUCAGCCAGGCGGAGUCCAGCGCCCCUCCUUCCUCCGCCCCACAGCGCCCCGGCUCCGCCGCCUUCCCAGCGGCACAGCUUUGAAGGAGAAACCCGGGCUGGGGGAAGCAGAGGAAGAGGGGCCACUCACUUGAUGAAGAAGACCCUCCCGCCGCCGUCCACCCCGUAGGUCCACCGGCCCGGCAGGUCCAGCCAGUCGAUCUCCUCGGCCAUCUCCGCGCCCCCGGGCGCCGGGCUGGCAGCGGCUCCGAGGCUCGCGCGCCCUCCGGGCCCGGCGGUGACCGUGGCCUCCGCGGAAGCGAGUUGGCCCAGUCGGCGGCCCGGCGAGCGCCGCGCAGACACCGCCGCCCUCCGGAGCGCUCCGGGCCGCUCCCGAACUUUAAUGACCGGCAAUUAGCGCGGGGCGUAAUUACGCGGGGCGCUCGGCCGCCGCGUCCGUCGGAGCCGGGCGCCCCAGGAGCGCAAGUCGCCGCCGCCUCUCGGAUCCCACACUGGCGGGCGGCGGGGCGGGGCAGGGCCGCGCCCGGGAAGGUAACCGGGGCCGGGAGCCCGCGAGAGCCUGAGUCACGGCCGAGGGGCACGGCCGGCCUCCCGGGGACAGGGCAGCGGCGCCCGAGCGGUACAAAGGUCAGGCGCUCGCUCCGGAGGGGGAGGCAGGGGAGGCCUGACUGCCAGCAGCUUCCCGCUGAGACGCCCAGCUCGCUAGUUAGGCCGGUCCUCGCCUCUCCUUCCGAGCACCUCCUCCAGGAAGCCCGCCGUGACUCCCUAGAGUCAGGGAAGCCCUAGGGACAAUUCAGAAACCAGCGCUGCGUCUCUCCAUCCUGUCCCCUAACACACCAGCAGUGGAGAGAAAUGAACUGUGCCGAUGCCUUCAGGCUGAUUCCUGGCUGCCAGGAGUAAGCUGACUCCAUUCCCCACAUGCAGAAGAGAAAGCUGAAGCCCAGAAUACCCCCGCUGCAUCCUCCCUGCUCAGCUCCCACAAACUCCACAUAGAAAGCGGCAUUGGAUGGAAUCGAACUUGGGAGCUUUCGAGGCAGGCAGUGGAACCUCUGAGCUAAGUCCCCGGCCCUUAGUUCCUGAAUUGGGGGAGUUCAGAGGGUCAGGGGAGCAGACUCCUUGGCCCCGAAGCCCCCAGCUUGUUAACCAGCUACAAGAGUCAUCCGGCUGAUAAAGCAUGGCCACCUGCCCAGCCCUGUGCUAUCCAAGGAUCGAAACCAGCACAGCUGCUGCCAAGAGGCCUGCACAGAAAAUACCAGCAGCCAGUGCUUCCCACCCCCAACCUGAACAACCAGUAUGGGCAGCUGCUGGGGCUGCAUGUGGGUGGAAACCAGGCGGAACGAUGCGUAU
This 1523-nucleotide long non-coding RNA is filed under the name Heterocephalus glaber (naked mole-rat). RNAcentral's name for it is "lncRNA (ENSHGLG00100045585.1)". The record is from RNAcentral. Lineage: Eukaryota; Metazoa; Chordata; Mammalia; Rodentia; Bathyergidae.